Molecule: non-coding RNA, 2062 nt
Organism: Chrysemys picta bellii (western painted turtle)
Lineage: Eukaryota; Metazoa; Chordata; Testudines; Emydidae
Source: RefSeq, a predicted model, not a curated record
GGCCCUCCCUACAAUUUCAGAAACCCGAUGUGGCCCUCGGGCCAAAAAGUUUGCCCGCCCCUGCUUUAUCACGUGGUGCUGAAAAGAUCACAUGGAGAGGGGGGAGUUAGCUGUGCAGGGCUCUGGAGGAAUUACAGUGCACUGACGUGAUCACCGUGAGUCUGAAUCUGCAAUGGCGUUUGUAACGGAAGAACAGAUCCAACAGUUCCAUGAAGAUGGUUUCCUUGUUUUGGAAGAGUUUUUCACCACAGAAGAAUGUGAUGCCAUGAGGGAGCAAAUGCACAAGAUUAUAGCCAAGAUGGAUGUGCCACCCCACUGCCGUACGGAGUUCUCCACCAACGACGAGGAACAGCUCCAGGCACAGGGCAGUGCGGAUUAUUUUCUAACCAGUGGAGACAAGAUCAGAUUCUUCUUUGAGAAAGGAGUUUUUGAUGAGAAAGGUGACUUUCUUGUUCCAAAGGAGAAAUCUAUAAACAAGAUUGGCCAUGCUUUGCAUGCUUACGAUCCCAUCUUCAAGCAAAUCACUCACUCCUCCAAAGUGCAGGAGUUGGGAAGAAAACUGGGCUUUGAGAAACCAGUGGUUGUCCAGAGCAUGUAUAUCUUCAAGCAACCUGGCAUUGGUGGUGAAGUGAGACCACACCAGGAUGCCACAUUUCUGUACACAGAGCCGCUGGGCAGGGUUCUGGGCCUCUGGAUAGCUCUGGAGAAUGCCACGCAGGAGAACAGCUGUCUAUGGUUCAUCCCUGGCUCUCACACCAUUUUGUCUACUGUGGGAUUGCAGAUGGCAUCACACGUAGAAUGGUCCGAGCCCCGCCAGGAACCAUACCAUGCACACAGUUCAUCGGCUCUGAGCGAACUUAUCAAGAUAGCCAGUUUAUUCCUGUGCCCAUCCGCAAAGGUGGCCUCAUUCUUAUCCAUGGAGAAGUUGUCCAUAAGAGUGAGUUGAACAGCUCAGAGUGGUCCCGCCAUGUGUACACUUUCCAUCUGAUGGAGACCAAAGACACCAGCUGGAGCAAAGAGAACUGGCUUCAGCCAACUCCUGAAUUGCCUUUUCCACCUCUCUACACCUAAAGCUAACAUUAGCCAUUGGAGUCAAAUGGUUGAUCACUGAGUAGACUCCAUUAAUCUUUCUCAGCCAUCUGCUGCUGUUCUCUUCAGAUACAACUUCACCCACUGCUCAUCUCCCAAUAUUCGUGUGUCCUCUGCCCAGGAGUAGCUUCAGCCGGUGUGCAUGACAGAAGAAUCUUCAUCCACACCUGUCCAGCGCUGGCCUGACUGAGAGCAUCUGUGUUACGUGUACCCUACUCAUAGUGAGAACAGUCACCUAAAAACUCCUUUUGAUGGGGAAAUCUCUUUAGUCAUAUGAACUCACUAUGAAGUGGCCACUGUACCUCAAUUGUGGGACCCGCUGAGAGGCACCUCCUUUUCAGGAUACUCAAAAUCUCAGUAUUUUCCCCUUGUACAACCCAAGCCAGGAAAAUUUCUAUUCUGUUUAUUCCAUCGCUGUUGUAUUACCCUCAGGUGUACAGAGUCUUUUGGAGGUUAUGUAGAGGGGUUUGUUGUACCACAAAAAAGUUAAAACCUACCCUGCUGAAACAGCAAUAGAGUAAAAGAAAAGUCUUGAAUGGGCAGACCAAAGCAGGGAGCCUAAAUUUCUUAUUUUUCCUGUUAAAAUGCUAAGUAAGAGUUACUGGGGAAUGGUAUGUGAGGAGAUAAGACAAUCCCUAGACUUGUAAACCUUUGCUGCAUACAUUUUCAAGGAGAACUGAGUGACUUUUGAUGCCUAUUGAAGUUAAUGAGAGGUGGGAAUAUCAAGAAUAAAAAUAAUACAAACAUAAUUUCUCUGUCUGAAGAUGACAGUCCCUGAAACCUCCAAAAAGUGUUAGACUACAACACAUAAGGGUAAAGACAUACAGUGAUUAUGCUUUUAACUCCCAGCAUGCAGAACAGAUGCUAGCAAAGAGCACAUAACUUCACCCUUCUAGGAAGUAUCAUUGAUGUAAUGCAGCCCACAUAUCUGAAUAUUCUAAAUAACCUCAUUUAAAUAAAGUGACAAAGUCCA